Molecule: unclassified non-coding RNA, 211 nt
Filed under: fungal sp.
Lineage: Eukaryota; Fungi
Description: partial internal transcribed spacer region
Rfam family: Eukaryotic small subunit ribosomal RNA (bases 1-46)
Source: RNAcentral
AAGUCGUAACAAGGUAUCCGUAGGUGAACCUGCGGAUGGAUCAUUAAUGAAGAUUUUCAAGUCAAAGUCUUGUGAACUGUUUUCCAACUAGUACUAGUGGGCAAGUCCCACUAGGCAACACCAACGUAUAUUACCCCUAGCCUGACGUCUACUUUAGAGUAGAGAAAUCUAAACCUAAAGACAACUUUUAGCAAUGGAUCUCUUGGCUCUC